AUACGUAGGUGGCAAGCGUUAUCCGGAUUUACUGGGUGUAAAGGGCGUGUAGGCGGGUCUGCAAGUCAGAUGUGAAAUCUCCGGGCUUAACUCGGAAGUGUCAUCUGAAACUACGGAUCUUGAGUACUGGAGAGGAUAGUGGAAUUCCUAGUGUAGCGGUAAAAUGCGUAGAUAUUAGGAGGAACACCAGUGGCGAAGGCGGCUAUCUGGACAGUAACUGACGCUGAGGCGCGAAAGCGUGGGGAGCGAACAGGAUUAGAUACCCUGGUAGUCCACGCUGUAAACGAUGAUUACUAGGUGUAGGGGGUAUCGACUCCCUCUGUGCCGCAGUUAACACAGUAAGCAUUCCGCCUGGGGAGUACGGUCGCAAGAUUAAAACUCAAAUGAAUUGACGGGG
This 397-nucleotide ribosomal RNA is filed under the name uncultured bacterium. Its description in RNAcentral is "partial 16S ribosomal RNA". It matches the Rfam family "Bacterial small subunit ribosomal RNA", at positions 523 to 918 of the family's 1533-position model. The record is from RNAcentral.